Molecule: ribosomal RNA, 541 nt
Filed under: uncultured bacterium
Lineage: Bacteria
Description: bacterial SSU rRNA
Rfam family: Bacterial small subunit ribosomal RNA
Source: RNAcentral
AAUAGAUACCCUGGUAGUCCACGCCGUAAACGAUGAGUGCUAGGUGUUGGGGGUCAUACCUCGGUGCCGCAGUUAACGCAUUAAGCACUCCGCCUGGGGAGUACGUACGCAAGUAUGAAACUCAAAGGAAUUGACGGGGACCCGCACAAGCAGCGGAGCAUGUGGUUUAAUUCGAAGCAACGCGAAGAACCUUACCUGGACUUGACAUCCCUUAGACCGCUUCUUAACCGAAGCUUUCCCUUCGGGGACUGAGGUGACAGGUGGUGCAUGGUUGUCGUCAGCUUGUGUCGUGAGAUGUUGGGUUAAGUCCCGCAACGAGCGCAACCCUUGUCUUUAGUUGCCAGCAUUAAGUUGGGCACUCUAGAGAGACUGCCGGGGAUAACUCGGAGGAAGGUGGGGAUGACGUCAAAUCAUCAUGCCCCUUAUGUUCAGGGCUACACACGUGCUACAAUGGCCGAUACAACGGGCAGCCAAGGAGUAAUCCGGAGCGAAUCCUUUAAAAUCGGUCCCAGUUCGGAUUGUGGGCUGAAACUCGCCCACA